GAAACAUGAAAGUCAAGAGUAAGCUUCUAACUUAAUUCUUAAGCGAUGCAAUUUCGUUUAUGUUUCU
This 67-nucleotide transfer RNA is filed under the name Saperda tetrastigma. RNAcentral's name for it is "tRNA-Ser". The record is from RNAcentral. Lineage: Eukaryota; Metazoa; Arthropoda; Insecta; Coleoptera; Cerambycidae.